Molecule: unclassified non-coding RNA, 339 nt
Filed under: soil metagenome
Description: partial contains 5.8S ribosomal RNA, internal transcribed spacer 2, and large subunit ribosomal RNA
Rfam family: 5.8S ribosomal RNA (bases 1-120)
Source: RNAcentral
GAUGGAGAACGUAGCGAAAUGCGAUACGUAGUGUGAAUUGCAGAAUUCAGUGAAUCAUCGAAUCUUUGAACGCACAUUGCACCUCUCGGUAUUCCGGGAGGUAUGCCUGUUCGAGCGUCAUUUGUACCCUCAAGCUCUGCUUGGUGUUGGGUGUUUGUUCCGCCUCUGUGUGUGAACUCGCCUCAAAACAAUUGGCAGCCGGCGUACUUGUUUCGGAGCGCAGCACAUUUUGCGAUCCAGAUCAACGUACAGCGGCAUCCAAGAAGCCUUAUUUAACGCUCUUGACCUCGGAUCAGGUAGGGAUACCCGCUGAACUUAAGCAUAUCAAUAAGCGGAGGA